AUGUCCUGAUCAGCAAACCCACUGAGAAUGUGCUGUGCUGACUGCAGGGCACAGGUAUCCCAAACAGAGGGCUUGUCCCUCACUGAUGGAUAAAGGGAGCCUGGGGGGCAGCUGGUCAGUCUCCAGAGGAAAAGGAGGACCCUGUCUGCAGUGCUACAACCAGAUGUGUCUUAGGAUGCAAUCAAAUUCAAGAUCUGCUCAGCUGAAAACUAGAAGAGCGAGGAACACUCAUUUUCACACAGCACGAAGUUGCCUCAAGAAGAAGCUUUGAAUGUGGUGCCAGCACAACAGCACUGCCAGCAGUGAGAGAAAAUAAGACAAGUAUCUCCAAGCUGUAAUAAAUACUGCUGUUAUUGCCUAUUGUUCAUCUGAAUCUCUACUCCUGAGAACUUGAGUUAAAUCCUAAAUUUUCCUUUUAUUUUUAGGCAGAAUAUCCAGCAAGUUAAAAAACUAGUAUCACAAGAACGUCCUAAGAUGGGGCUUGCUCCAGUUUUCCUGCUGAGCAUGUGUUUAGGAAUUGCUGCUAAAAAAAAGUCAGAGAGGAUGGUAGUUGCUGUGCUGUCACAUGGCCUGAUACAGCACAGAAUCUGCUUAGCAUUCUUGAAGGGAAAUUAUCCAGUGCUGCAACUCACAAUUUAUAAUUGGUUGCAUAUUAAUAGCUAAAAAAGGCAAUAAAAUCCACUGUGUGUUUAAAAAAAAAAAAAAGUAAGUAGGAGUAUUACAAGCUGAGCAGUGAAAAUCUGGAAGACUUCUUGGCUAGAGCAGGGCUGUGUGCAGUGUUGUUUCUCCUGUAUUAAUUACAAGCAAUUUAAAAUCAUCUUCUUCCUUCAAGGAAGGGUUUUAUUCAGCGUUUUUGUUAAUUUUAAUCUUGCUAAUGUGAUACUCUCUUGGAACCUCUGCCUUGUGUCAUAACAGUGAGACAUGCUGCCUCUUUUGUCCCUGCCCUUUGGGAAACACAGUUACUGCUGCUCAUUGCCUAACCCUGCUGUCGUGACACCUCCCUUGAAAGGGAAAGAAACUAAAACUCAGCAGCAGAAUUGUUCUUUCCCCCCCUUCCCCCCGAGUUCACUUUUAUUUGUAAUAUUUAAGCUAGACUGUGUGAGUGCCUCAAGAAAAUCAGGGGUUUAAAAUAUAUGGUGCUGUAUUAGAGUGGAAAGCUUGUUAUUCAGCACACUAAUUAUUUCUGAGUCACUGUAUUUAUGAAAUGUCAUGUA
Onychostruthus taczanowskii (white-rumped snowfinch) is the source of this 1214-nucleotide long non-coding RNA. RefSeq lists it as uncharacterized. The record is from RefSeq and is a predicted model, not a curated record. The transcript has 3 exons. Lineage: Eukaryota; Metazoa; Chordata; Aves; Passeriformes; Passeridae.